UCUCACAAUCACUCACAGCCUUCUUCUUCUCCAUAUACAACAACGACGUUUAACAACGACCGUCGCGUUCUUCACCACCACCACCGUCACGCUCUUCACCACCAUCACCGUCACGCUCUUCACCACCAUCACCGGUAGCGUCUCUCUCUCUCUCUCUCCUUCUCUCUUCUGAGCGUUGAAUCUGAGUUUAUUUAUUUUGGUAAAGGAAGGUGGAGGAGGCAGAGGAGAUUGAUGAAGGAUGAGGUAGCAGAAGCGGUGGCUCGUGAGCUGAGCCGGCUUGAAGAUUGAAGAUAAGAAGCUACGGUGAGGAAGCAUAAGAAGCGUGACGGCGGAGGAGGCG
This 340-nucleotide long non-coding RNA is filed under the name Brassica napus (rape). RNAcentral's name for it is "long non-coding RNA (BNAP_LNC004451)". Lineage: Eukaryota; Viridiplantae; Streptophyta; Magnoliopsida; Brassicales; Brassicaceae. The record is from RNAcentral.